This 1232-nucleotide ribosomal RNA is filed under the name uncultured Sulfurimonas sp. RNAcentral describes it as "bacterial SSU rRNA". It matches the Rfam family "Bacterial small subunit ribosomal RNA", at positions 237 to 1482 of the family's 1533-position model. The record is from RNAcentral. Lineage: Bacteria; Pseudomonadati; Campylobacterota; Epsilonproteobacteria; Campylobacterales; Sulfurimonadaceae.
CGCAUCAGUUAGUUGGUGGGGUAACGGCCUACCAAGACAAUGACGCGUAGCGGGUUUGAGAGGAUGAUCCGCCACACUGGUACUGAGACACGGACCAGACUCCUACGGGAGGCAGCAGUGAGGAAUAUUGCACAAUGGGGGAAACCCUGAUGCAGCAACGCCGCGUGGAGGAUGACGCAUUUCGGUGUGUAAACUCCUUUUAUGAGUCAAGAAAAUGACGGUAGCUCAUGAAUAAGCACCGGCUAACUCCGUGCCAGCAGCCGCGGUAAUACGGAGGGUGCAAGCGUUACUCGGAAUCACUGGGCGUAAAGGACGCGUAGGCGGGUUAUCAAGUCAGGUGUGAAAUCCUAUGGCUCAACCAUAGAACUGCACUUGAAACUGGUAACCUAGAGUAUGGGAGGGGCAGAUGGAAUUAGUAGUGUANGGGGUAAAAUCCGUAGAUAUUACUAGGAAUACCUAAGGCGAAGGCGAUCUGCUGGAACAUUACUGACGCUAAGGCGUGAAAGCGUGGGGAGCAAACGGGAUUAGAUACCCCGGUAGUCCACGCCCUAAACUUAUUUUCGCUAGUCGUCGGGGAGCUAGUCUCUUCGGUGAUGCACUUAACAGAUUAAGUGUUCCGCCUGGGGAGUACGGUCGCAAGAUUAAAACUCAAAGGAAUAGACGGGGACCCGCACAAGUGGUGGAGCAUGUGGUUUAAUUCGAAGAUACGCGAAGAACCUUACCUAGCCUUGACAUUGAUAGAACACCGUAGAGAUACAGUGGUGCCCUUCGGGGAACUUGAAAACAGGUGCUGCACGGCUGUCGUCAGCUCGUGUCGUGAGAUGUUGGGUUAAGUCCCGCAACGAGCGCAACCCUCGUCCUUAGUUGCCAGCAGGUUAAGCUGGGCACUCUAAGGAGACUGCCUUCGCAAGGAGGAGGAAGGUGAGGACGACGUCAAGUCAUCAUGGCCCUUAUGGCUAGGGCUACACACGUGCUACAAUGGGGCGUACAGAGAGUUGCGAUACCGCGAGGUGGAGCCAAUCUCAUAAAGCGUCUCUCAGUUCGGAUUGGAGUCUGCAACUCGACUCCAUGAAGCUGGAAUCACUAGUAAUCGUAGAUCAGCAAUGCUACGGUGAAUACGUUCCCGGGUCUUGUACUCACCGCCCGUCACACCAUGGGAGUUGAUUUCACCCGAAAUUGGGAAGCUAACCUUCGGGGGGCUACCACUUACGGUGGAAUUAGCGACUGGGGUG